Molecule: ribosomal RNA, 722 nt
Filed under: Goniglossum sp. HYH-2008
Lineage: Eukaryota; Metazoa; Arthropoda; Insecta; Diptera; Tephritidae
Description: partial 12S ribosomal RNA
Source: RNAcentral
AUGUAAGUUUUUGCGUGAAUUUUUAUUUAUUUUAAUAGUAAAUAUUUUUUUUAUAAUCUCAAUAAUUAAUUUUAUUAAUCAAAGAAAUUUGUAGAUAGUAAUUUCAUAUAGUAUUGGCUAAAUUUGUGCCAGCAGCCGCGGUUACACAAAUAACACAAAUAAAAUUAUCUCAGUGUAAGUUAAAUUUUAUUUGAAUAUAAAAUAAGUUUAAAUUUAUUAGGUGAAAUUUUAAAUUUAUGUAUUUUUAUCUUAUUUUAGUUGAAGCUUGUAAAUUUUAUUAAUAAACUAGGAUUAGAUACCCUAUUAUUUAAAAUGUAAAUUAAAACACUUAGGUAGUAUUAGGUAUGAUCUUGAAACUUAAAAAAUUUGGCGGUAUUUUAGUCUAUUCAGAGGAACCUGUUCUGUAAUUGAUAGUCCACGAUGUACCUCACUUGAGUUUGUUAUCAGUUUAUAUACCGUCGUUAUUAGAAUAUUUUAUUAGAAUAAUAAUUUUCUAUAAUUUUAAUUAAAAUUUAUAUCAGAUCAAGGUGUAGCUUAUAUUUAAGUAGAAAUGGGUUACAAUAAAUUUAUUUAAGCGAAUUUAAACAUGAAAUAUAUUUAAUGAAGAUGGAUUUGAUAGUAAAAUUUUAAAGAUUAAAAAUUUGAUUUUAGCUCUAAAAUAUGCACACAUCGCCCGUCGCUCUUGCUAUUAAGGUAAGAUAAGUCGUAACAUAGUAGAUGUA